This 70-nucleotide transfer RNA is filed under the name Ictidomys tridecemlineatus (thirteen-lined ground squirrel). Its description in RNAcentral is "Spermophilus tridecemlineatus (thirteen-lined ground squirrel) tRNA". It matches the Rfam family "tRNA". From Rfam's summary of the family: Transfer RNA (tRNA) molecules are approximately 80 nucleotides in length. Their secondary structure includes four short double-helical elements and three loops (D, anti-codon, and T loops). The record is from Rfam by way of RNAcentral. Lineage: Eukaryota; Metazoa; Chordata; Mammalia; Rodentia; Sciuridae.
GGGAUUGUGGCUCAAGGGGUAGAGCGCUUGCCUAGCAUGCAUGAGGCACUGGGUUCGACCCUCAGCACCA